This 496-nucleotide ribosomal RNA is filed under the name uncultured soil bacterium. RNAcentral describes it as "bacterial SSU rRNA". It matches the Rfam family "Bacterial small subunit ribosomal RNA", at positions 26 to 484 of the family's 1533-position model. The record is from RNAcentral.
AGAUUGAACGCUGGCGGCAUGCCUUACACAUGCAAGUCGAACGGUAGAGUAGCAAUACUCGAGAGUGGCGAACGGGUGAGUAAUAUAUCGGAACGUGCCCAGUCGUGGGGGAUAACGUAGAGAAAUUUACGCUAAUACCGCAUACGAUCUAAGGAUGAAAGCGGGGGACUCGCAAGAGCCUCGCGCGAUUGGAGCGGCUGAUAUCAGAUUAGGUUGUUGGUGAGGUAAAAGCUCACCAAGCCGACGAUCUGUAGCUGGUUUGAGAGAACGACCAGCCACACUGGGACUGAGACACGGCCCAGACUCCUACGGGAGCAGCAGUGGGAAUUUGGACAAUGGGACGAAAGCCUGAUCCAGCAAUGCCGCGUGCAGGAAGAAGGCCGUUACGGUGUAAACUGUACUUUUUGUACGGUAACGAAAGGUCUAGACCCUAAGUACCGGCGGCCCAGUCGACCGGUAACGUAAGAAGUAACGCGACCGACUAACGUACGUACGG